Corynebacterium casei LMG S-19264 is the source of this 96-nucleotide non-coding RNA. NCBI's taxonomy places the organism in Bacteria, Bacillati, Actinomycetota, Actinomycetes, Mycobacteriales, Corynebacteriaceae. The record is from Rfam.
CGUUAAGACACGGGGUGCCGUAAAGACCGGCUGAGAUAACACCCGUCGAACCUGAUCUAGUUAGUACUGGCGAAGGGAUUGUCCGGAUGAAACUGG